RNAcentral lists this ribosomal RNA (407 nucleotides) under Verrucomicrobiota bacterium. RNAcentral describes it as "Verrucomicrobia bacterium partial 16S ribosomal RNA". It matches the Rfam family "Bacterial small subunit ribosomal RNA", at positions 355 to 776 of the family's 1533-position model. Lineage: Bacteria; Pseudomonadati; Verrucomicrobiota. The record is from RNAcentral.
UGGGGAAUAUUGGACAAUGGAGGCACCUCUAAUCCAGCAAUUCUGUGUGUGUGAAGAAGGUUUUAGGACUUUAAACCACUUUUAGUAGGGAAGAAAGAAAUGACGGUACCUACAGCAGAAGCGACGGCUCAAUACGUGCCAGCAGCCGCGGUCAUACGUAUGUCGCGAGCGUUAUCCGGAAUUAUUGGGCUUAAAGGGCAUCUAGGCGGUUAAACAAGUUGAAGGUGAAAACCUGUGGCUCAACCAUAGGCUUGCCUACAAAACUGUAGAAGUAGAGGAAUGGAAAGGGGGGGGGAAAUACACGAGGAGAGGUGAAAUUCGUAGAUAUGUGUAGGAAUGCCGAUGAGGAAGAGAACUCACUGGACAGCAAAGGACGCUGAAGUGAGAAAGGUAGGGGAGGAAAAAGG